RNAcentral lists this long non-coding RNA (769 nucleotides) under Phoenix dactylifera (date palm). RNAcentral describes it as "long non-coding RNA (PDAC_LNC014715)". The record is from RNAcentral. Lineage: Eukaryota; Viridiplantae; Streptophyta; Magnoliopsida; Arecales; Arecaceae.
GAGUCCCACCAUCCACCAGUGAUACCUAGCAGCAUGUAGUGGCUACCCAGCAGAACGGAAUGAUGAACCUCUAGGUGCAGUUAACGUGUGAUACAGUCCUACUAUCGUGGAUCCCUACAGGACGGAGGUCAUGGACAACUCGUCAAACCCCAUCGUCUGUCAUAUGUCAAGAUUUAUUCGACUUGAGUUUGAUAGUGGAAAACUCUUUUUCCACUUUAUAUCACUGCCCUGGCCAAGGUCUUAGAACUCAGUCUAACAAAUCACAUAGGAUCACUCCUCUCCUAUCAAGGUCGAUAGAUUCCUUAUAGGUGCAUACCCUACUCCUAUAGUGAACCUACUGCAGCCAAUCUACAUUGCAUGGACCCAUAUGGCUAGAGACCAUGUAUGUGUGCAGUCAAACUACAAUAACCUCACUGUGAGUAGCCGAAGCACCGCAGGUCAAAGGACCAGUCACACUACUGCAACAUCAAGCAAGUCACUGACGAGUGGAUAGACAUCCAAGUGACUUCUUGUCUUGGUCACGCUUAGUACCCUUGUUCUCUAACAAGCACCUGCACUAUCACUUCAGUGUCCCUACACUGUGGACUCAAGUCUCGUCCAUCCAGAGGGAAAGUGAUCUGUGCACUGAUCGGAUCGAUCACCGUCCUCGUGAUGAUCCAUUGAUCAGGAGCAUUUAGAAAUUAAUCACCAAAGAUACAUGGCUCAAAUUCUCAACUCUUGAGAAUAUGUAUCAUCAUCUUAUUAAUUCCUUGGACGAUUCAUAGACACA